Pieris napi is the source of this 1665-nucleotide long non-coding RNA. RefSeq lists it as uncharacterized. Lineage: Eukaryota; Metazoa; Arthropoda; Insecta; Lepidoptera; Pieridae. The transcript is spliced from 3 exons. The record is from RefSeq and is a predicted model, not a curated record.
AUGCGACUGGACAGUCCUGAACAGAAGUGCAUAUGUAAGUACGCAAAUUCAGGUUUUACGAGAUCAAAGACCUACGUCCUUUUGGGAGUUCCCAAAAAUAAAAGGUACCUUUGUUUAAAAUAUUAAUUAAAACUGAUCUGCAUAGAUCUUAUUUUUAUCGUAAAGGUGUUUGGAAAAUUGGCACAUUCAGUUCAAAGUUCUGGCCGCUAUCGCAGUAUGAUUAAAGAUUUCUUAGGCUAUUUUUACUUAGGUAAAGUCCUUGGCGAAUUCGUUUAUUCAUGGUAAUGUCUUAAUUAUAUAUUCGAACCUACAUUAUUUAAUUUGCUAUUAUGGCCACAUCCUUCAAUACUCAUAACCCAUUCUUACCUUUUUAACGACCCUAGCAAAUACAACUGUAACACUUUAUCUGUACUUAAAAAAAAGCAGAUGGCGUUCCUUAUAUAAAUAGAGGAUAAAUAACUUCGAAAUAAUUUGGAAUGAAUAUAUUGAUAUUGUACAGUAAACUAUAAAUUAUUUUAAAGAAUAAUUACCCGUUAUUUAUCACACAUUGAUUGGUAUGAGUUAUUCUUCUACAUCUGCUCAACUUUUCAUGUUUCGUUAGCAGCUCUCGGGCGAUAACAGCCUUGUGUGUCUUUUUUCCUGUAAUCUCGUGACGAGCGAUUGAUCGAAAUAGGACCUAUAACUUUUCAGCGGUAAAAUAUUACUAAGAUUUUACUAUUUUUAUAUUUUUUUUACUAUUCUCUACUAUUAUAAUCUUUAAUUGUCGAUACAAUUUUACUUUCUACACCACUGUACUACUCUUCGUGUAAUUUAAUACUGCCUAUUAAAUUGAAGCUAGAUUUUGUCGACAUAAAACCACGCUCUAUUAUAACUUCAGCGUGUGACAGUACUUCAAAGACUUCAGGUCAUCUGAGGUGACCUAAAUAGUCAAUAGAUAUUGUUUACCGACUUUGAAAGGAGACGACUUUUAGUCUUGAUAUUCACGGUGCCAUUACCUAUUACACCUACUUUUAUAUUAUUUUGCAGAUUUUCGUCUUUAUUAUUAUUACGUUGCAGCAUAGCAUUAAUGAGAAAACAUUGGGGGACGAAAAUAGAAUACGCGAAGAUCCCUCUAUAAAAGAUAGAAUAGAAAGCUUCUUUUCUGUCGGUAAAUGUUUGUUUCAGAGAGCCCAACGUCUUUGUGAUGCUGCCCACGUCGAGGAGGAACUACAGCAUGUGCUACUAAACAGGUGCUACACCGAAACAAAAACAAGACACGAACAGUUCCGCGCCAGCCAACCUACCUACCCUAUUGAAAGGGAGUUACAGAUAGAAUUAGCCGGAUCCUAAAAUGAGCUUCUAUUAAUACAAUUUUCAAGCCGCACAAGAAGAUUCAGCAAUUCCUUAGGAAUACCAAUCAAAAGUAACACCCCGUUGCAAGAUGCAGCCUGGAAAUUCAAAAUUCUCUGAACGUGUCUUCGAAAGUCUGGACUCGCCCGAAAAUGCUUAACGAAACGAAAGGAAAGUUGGUCGGUUAAGCCUGCGAUCGCGGGUUCGGAUUCCCGGCACCGCAGAAGGGCCAACCUAGACUGUUUGGGCAACUCCGCACAGCACGCGUUGAAGCAUUGAAGCGUCGCCCGUCGCUGAUUCAAGUCCAGAUUGGUAUUUCUGCUCAGCUGGAGAAAA